This is a long non-coding RNA of Myxocyprinus asiaticus (Chinese sucker), 827 nucleotides long. RefSeq lists it as uncharacterized. The record is from RefSeq and is a predicted model, not a curated record. Lineage: Eukaryota; Metazoa; Chordata; Actinopteri; Cypriniformes; Catostomidae. The transcript has 4 exons.
UUUCUUCAGAACUAUGUGAGUGGGAGUAGGAAAGAAGAACAACAGUACACAUCACAUAUCUUACUGAAAGGCUUUUUACUUUCAUUUACUAUUCUUUCUGUGCUGACAUUUUACAUGGCAAAUCGUUAAUUGCACUGGAUUUUAAAGAAUCUGCACAACACAUAAAGGUUUUGUUGUUGUUGUUGUUUUGACCCAAAGUGAACCAACAUGGCUGUCAGUGAUGUCCUUCUAAAGACCCUUGACGAUCUGGACUCAAGUGAACUCGAUCAAUUUAGAUGGCAUUUAACUCAAGGUGUGGAUGGCCACAAAAUUCCCAAAAAUAAAUUGGAGGGCAAACCAAUGUGGAAUAUUGUGGAUAGUAUGAUUCAACGGUUUCAUGACUGGUGCUAUAAGAGUCACUCUGAACAUUUUGUACAAAAUGAAUCUGAACAAUCUUGCACUGCAAAUGAAUGAGGAGCUUCAAGCAAAAGGAGUUGACAAAAUGGAUUUCAGAUGAAGAAGAACUUUAGGCAUUAUGAACAUCCAGAGGAUUCCAGCCACUAUGUAAACAGCAGCCAUGAUGCACAAGACUUACUCUAAACUGGAUGGAAACAACACACCUUCUAAAGAAAAACCUCAAAGAUUUCAACCAAUUUACUCAAGAUUUUUACCAGAAUAAUUCAAGGCAUAUCAUUUUCUACAUAUAACAGAUUUUCUAGUAGAUACAUUUGGAAAUUAUUACUAUGCUAUAACUCUGUACCAGUUUUUGAGCUUAAAAUUAAAAAUGAAAACCAGAUUUAUAUAAUUUUACUUGUGCUGUUCCAACAAAUAAAAACACUGACUCUACA